AAGAUUUUAAGUUAGCACCCUAAACUUUAAACCUUCAAAGUUUAAUAAAUAAUUAUUUUAUUAUAAAUCUUA
Molecule: transfer RNA, 72 nt
Filed under: Pheidole obscurithorax
Lineage: Eukaryota; Metazoa; Arthropoda; Insecta; Hymenoptera; Formicidae
Description: tRNA-Trp
Source: RNAcentral